AGUGAACGCUGGCGGUAGGCCUAACACAUGCAGGUCGAACGGCGGCACAGUAAGAGCUUGCUCUUACGGGUGGCGAGUGGCGGACGGGUGAGGAAUACAUCGGAAUCUACUUUUUCGUGGGGGAUAACGUAGGGAAACUUACGCUAAUACCGCAUACGACCUACGGGUGAAAGCAGGGGAUCUUCGGACCUUGCGCGAUUGAAUGAGCCGAUGUCGGAUUAGCUAGUUGGCGGGGUAAAGGCCCACCAAGGCGACGAUCCGUAGCUGGUCUGAGAGGAUGACCAGCCACACUGGAACUGAGACACGGUCCAGACUCCUACGGGAGGCAGCAGUGGGGAAUAUUGGACAAUGGGCGCAAGCCUGAUCCAGCCAUACCGCGUGGGUGAAGAAGGCCUUCGGGUUGUAAAGCCCUUUUGUUGGGAAAGAAAAGCAGCAGGUUAAUACCCCGCUGUUCUGACGGUACCCAAAGAAUAAGCACCGGCUAACUUCGUG
Molecule: ribosomal RNA, 492 nt
Filed under: uncultured bacterium
Lineage: Bacteria
Description: partial 16S ribosomal RNA
Rfam family: Bacterial small subunit ribosomal RNA
Source: RNAcentral